Long non-coding RNA from Oxyura jamaicensis (ruddy duck), 4242 nucleotides. RefSeq lists it as uncharacterized. The record is from RefSeq and is a predicted model, not a curated record. The transcript is spliced from 2 exons. NCBI's taxonomy places the organism in Eukaryota, Metazoa, Chordata, Aves, Anseriformes, Anatidae.
GGAAAUGAAGAGGUUAGUCAAAACUUAGUGUCUUUUUGUUACAUGAGGUUUAAUUUGGACUUCCGUAAGUUGAAUGAAAAAACAUGGAGAAUAGAGAUAAGGAGCUUUCAGGAUCAGAAAAAUAAAACUCAAACCCUUCAUUACGAUGUUACAGCUUUUUCUAAGUAGUACUUCGCUUUAGCAGUUCUGAAGUUAAUGAAGUGUGCAUGGAUUAUUGCUGCAUGUAUUUUACUUCAAAGCUGGUUAUUCCCUAGAAGUCAGAGGCUUUGCAUGUCUGUUGAUAUAGAAAAGUGGCUGAGAAAGUACUAAUACAAAACUUCUGGGUUUUGACAUAAUGCUAGAGGAGCAAAAAAGCAAGUUACAUGCUUAACUUUGCAAAUCUGACCACAGCAUCAGAUCAAGCAAGAUGAAGAGUUGAUGCUGGGUUGUUUUUUGCUACAGUUAAGACGACCUUACCUAGGAAGUCUGCAGGACAGCCCUUAGAGCAGCUCUGAGAAUCAUUUGGUGGCAGCCCUACUUGUGGUUGUUCUGAGAACUGUAACUGAUCUUGAGAUACUGAUCUGAAGGACGCCUACUUCUGCACUGAGACACUUGUCCAACACUCAGCUGCAGAAAUGCCCCAGGAGCUAAAGUCAACAACUGAUGUGCAUGAACACAAUAUGCCUACAUACUCAAGCUGCGGGAAGAGGAAAGAGAGGAAAAAAGGAACUUAGAUGGGUUCUUCCAUUUUUCUGUAGAGCUGUUAGUGACUCAGUCUAGAAUUUAGAGCUGUGAUUUAGCAUAGCUGGGGAGGUUGCAGAAAAAAAGCCUGUAUUGUUUCUCAGUUUCUGUAAGUAAGCAGAAGUUACAGGACCAUAAAGCUAAUGUGGGAGGUAACCUCUUGAAGAUAUGGUCUUACAUUUGUCUACUCAGCAUAUCAUAAGGAUUAUAAAUGGUUUGACAGUAUACUUCUGGAAAACUACCUGAUACACAAGAGAACUUGAAAUUUUACAAACGGUUGUCAGUUCAGUGUUACAUCUUAGUCUUUUCCCUGUUGUGAAAUACUUGAAAAAUACAUCAACUACUUGCUUUUAAGCAUAUUCCAGGAAUGCUUUCUGAUAUUAGAGCAUCUACAGUUAGACAAUAGAUUACUUUUAUGUAUUGGGGAGGAUAGAGAUGUUUUCUUCUUUAAAAACUGUACAGCAGUAACAACGGUUAUAUUUAAGCCCUUGUCACCUCCAGGGAGGGCAGGGUAAUUUGCUUUUCUUUGUAUUUACAUAUUUUCGUUAAAUCAUUGUACAGCAUACCUAAAGCUAAAGCUACAUAGUCUUUGUUCCUGGAAAUGUCCCAGGAUACUUUGCAUAUGCUCUGUGCAUAGCAGAUAAUUUGGUGUUUUUUUCCCCCCUUCCCCAGUAUUUUUACUCAUCCCCCCAAAGAAGUUGUUCAUGUGCUUAAUCACUGUAAUAUACAUAGUGAGGCUAAUUAUGCUGUAGCUAAAAAUGUUUUCUGCCAUCUUGUUAUAAGGCCCCUCACAGAUCAAACUAGAGACACACAAAUAGUGAAUGUUUUAAUUUUUCACAUAUCUAGAUCUAUCUGCUUUGAAGAACAGCAUUGUAAGCUUCUCCCAUUAUUAACAAACAGAUAGAAGCCUUCCACAUCCCUGCGUGCCAUGUUCCAGAUGCAGAUUAACAUCAUUAACAUCAACAGCAGUCUCCCGGUCUGUCUGGCAGGAGGUAUUGAUCUGUAUUUUAGACCUAGUGUAGAUGCUCAUUUUGAUGAUGCUAGAACCAGGAGUGUGCUCUUGAAGUAGUAUUUGUGUUCAGCACUUUGACUUGACCUUGAAGUUUUCAGAUAGACCACCAGAAGCUGCACCUCAGGAGCAUGUGUGCCCCCAUACCCACCCACUCAUGGGUGGGAGAGCUUACAAGAGCAGGCGAGAGCUAGUCCAAACUGACCACACAUGACCUAUAUAGUGGGAUACAGUGACCUAUAUAGAGCCCUCAGUAUCAGAUAUUCUGAUUUACAAACCUGUACUAUUUCCUGAGGUAGAUACAGCCAGCAGUAAUUAUAAGAGAUCAGUCUAGUGUUAAGCUAAUUAGAAACUGAUCUGUUUGAACUCAACGUGAAGGAAGGCCCAUAGGGAACAGGAACACCCAUUGGGAUGUUUGAUCCACAAGAACUCUGACAUUUCCAAACAUCUUCAGGAAAAGAGGGACUAGCCUAAAUGCCAGGGGAGGUUCAGGUUGGAAAUUAGGAGGCAUUUCUUUCUCAGAAAGAGCAGUCACGCAUUGGAAUGGGUUGCCCAGGGAGGUGGUAGAGUCACUGUCCCAGGGGGUGUUCAAAGGAGAGGUUGGACGUGGUGCUUAGGGACAUGGUUUAGUCGGUGACAUUGGUAGCAGGGGGAUGUUUGGACCAGAGGAUCUUGGAGGUCUUUUCCAACCUUCAUGAUUCCAUAAUCUUAGGCCAGUGUUUCCCGGUCUUCACCCUCUGCAGCUGUUUGUAUGGUGUUGGUGAAUGCCACAAAUUGAAGGUGUAAACAAGUGUUGGUACACCAAGAGUUAGACUGCUUGAAAAGACAAGCUCAUCUAAACAACAUUAGGUUAAAAGUAACAUGAAAAAUUCACCUGAGGGUGGGAAAUGUGUGUAGGGUAUUUAUGAGCUGGGAGAAGAGAAAAUGCUCAGGAAUGAAGAGACAUUUGUAAGUACAGGGUGAAUAGACUGUUUAACAAGAUUCCCUGUGGCAGGUUUUAGGUGGAAGGAAUGCAAGUCUUGUCAGAGAAAGAUUGACAAGAAAACAAGGAUUUGUGUCCUGUUUAUGGCAUAGGAGAACUGUAAAAGCAGCAUUAACAUUAAGACCAGGCACAGAAAUGUUGUAGCUUAGAUUAGAGAGCUGCAAGGAUCAACUCUGGAAAGCAUAUAUGAAAAGUAUAGUAGGUAGAGCAAUGAGGCUGGAUUAGAUGUGCUUAGAAGCAAUUCAGCUCCUCUCCAUAUAGAUACUGGUGUUUUUUUUGUUUGGUUGGUUUUGACAGAGAUCACUACUAGACUGCUCUUCAACCUACCAGGGAGGGAGGGAGAGUAUGAACAAGUACAAGAAAGCCAGGGCUAGCCAGGUAGAAAAAAAUGUUAGGGAUAAAGUAGAUGGACUCAGUGAGGAGAACAAGCCAUGAAAUAUCUUUUUGUUAAGUCUUAAGGGAGGAAAAGGUAUUGUCUUAAAAGUUCUCCAUGUCUUGUUAGCUUGAUAUGGAUGAUGUCACUAAAUCUUUGAUUCACAACACAUCGAUCUCAUAUCAUUCUUUUGGCCUCUCCUCUGAAUGAGCUCUCUGCAAAGCACAAGUAAGGGUCUUUGGAGGGGCUCUCCUUGGAAGCAGUCUUGCCAAGCAGCAGACAAUUACUUUUCCUCUAUGCUGCCUUCCCACCAUUUUAUCACCAGCCCUAGUAAAAGCUAGGCUCGAGAGAAACAUUUAUCAUGUUUGAUGGGACUGGUUACCCAGCAAGUAUAUUAUUAAUGAGCAUUCAGAGGAAAAAGACAGCUUAUCUGUCUAAAGUAGUGCCGUGGCACUGUUUUCACAUGACUCCAAAUGCCAGCCAUUUAACUUGUAGUAAAAUCCAGCUUUAGGCUGAAUUUCUGCCUUGGCCCUUUACCAUCAUUCCACCUUGGAAUUCAGAGGGCUGCAACAUGGUUUAGAUCAUAUGCCAAACCAGUCUGAUGAUUGAGUUUAGAUGGAAGAAUGAUAUUGCUUAUUCCAUUAGGACUGGAAAGCAACUGUCAGCAGAUAUAACUACAACAUGAGCUGCUGUAAGAAGCUUGGGAAAACCUUCUGUUAAAUAGAAGGCACACAAGUUAUUAGAGCUGCAGUUAUCUAAGUUUAAUUCUGGCAUCCAGGAACGCUUCCUUGGGUUUUAUAGAAGAUGUACAUUAGUGGAUACAGCUAUACAAGUACACAGGGAGAAAACUAAAAACCUACAUGCUUCAGAGCCUGUAGUAUAGCUAUAAAGAUGCAGCAUAUUAGCACAAGCACAUAGUGCAUAAUAUUAGGGAUUUUUUUUUUUUAAUCAUUACAUUUGGUCUAGACAACAGCACAGACAGAAUGCUCUUUUAGAAGUGCUGGCUUGCUGUAGUACAACAUUUCUACAUGUAGCAUAACUGGUAAAGCCUACACUAAGAGAUUAUUUACAAUAAGUAGUACUUCUAGGAUUCCCUAUACAGUAUAGGAAUGUUGAGAAAUACUCAACAGAAGCCAUAAACCACCAUUUAUAUAAAAA